Molecule: RNA transcript, 2831 nt
Organism: Capsicum annuum
Lineage: Eukaryota; Viridiplantae; Streptophyta; Magnoliopsida; Solanales; Solanaceae
Exons: 2
Source: RefSeq, a predicted model, not a curated record
GGCCGCACAUUUGUUUUUCAAACACUGGUUGCGCUUGAGUAUAUGCUGGUGAAAUAUUGAUAUACUAGUUCAAGGAUUAUGUCAAGCCAAAGAAUGAUUUGUGUGAACGAUAUGUGAUGUUGAAACAUCAAGUAAAACGGUAAUUCUGUUUCUUGCUCUACCUUCGCCUGAAUUUAUUUUACAUGUGUUGACACCUAAUUUUUGCCCUCCUCAACUACGUUAAAUCUCGAGUUUCUUCGAUUUUCAAAUAAAAUCACAACAGUUAUUUUUUCAAAAUAAAUGCAUUUUAAAUAUGUAUUUGGGCUAAGUUUGUUAUUUAAGUAAUAAUUAUAUAUUUUCAUAUUUACAUAUACGAGAUUGUAUAAAUGAUGUCAUUUAAAUGAACAUUCUCAUCAAUGUCUAUUUUUAAUUAAGGAUAAUCUUUGAAAAUAAAUGUGAUAAUUAAAAUUUUGAUUCAAAUACAAUGUAAUCUCAAAAAUAAUUUAUUUGGAUAAAUAUGUGUUUGAUUUUAUUAAAUCGAGAAGUUCGGGAUUAAAUGAGGUAUUGAUUCGAAUUGGAUUUCAAUUUAAUUUUGGUCAUAAUUGAAAUUAAAUCGACCAAUUGGCCAAUUAAUCUUCAAUUUGACCAAAAAAUGAAAUGAAAUUGGCUAAUCCCUAGAGGCUAUUUAUUAAGAAACCCCAAAAGUUACCCAACUGCUAAAUUCCUUCCUAAUCUGCCCAAUUUUGGCCCAAAUAUCUUUCUUGAUCAAUCUCCCAUUUGUUCCGAACUUCAACAGCCCAUUUCAACAACACAAGCCCAAAUCCCAUCCGUCCCACUCCCUUUUACCCAUUCACCAGCCCAACAACAAAUUAAUAACUACCCAGGCCCAAUCCAAUGUCAACCCAAUUUCAGACCCGGCCCAUUUCAGUUGUUGUCUUCAUCAAAAUAGCCUUCACCCAAUCUCAACACCGACCAGCUUCAAUAACCAUCAACCCGCCCCGACCUUCUAUAACUCGAUCAACAGCUCCAACUCAUCAAAAUCCGUCAAAUCGACCCGCAACCAACUCGUCUUAAUCCUCUUCACGCGUCCCACGCGAUGUUGUACCAUGGAAGAUCCGAGAAGCUUCUAGAAAGAGGGUGAGUUGGCUCAUCUAACGUCCAUAUUCCGCAAAUUUUGGGGUAAUGGUACGGAUUUGGCGAUUUUUCAUUGGGUCUGGGGGAGAAUUCGUUUCAUCCCAAUUCUAUUGGUCCACCAAACCCAAAUUGGUGCGGAUUGAGGACAAAAACGGAGCUGGAGGGGGGAAUUCGAAAUUAAAAUGGGCUAUUUUCGGAAAUCCCUGGAAUGCCCUCAAUCCCUUCUAUAAAAGGGCUCACGGAGAGCCGAGAAAGGGGUUCGGUUUUCGUGAAUGAAGGUUGGUAAAGAGAGGGAUUCGAAAAACGAAAAUUAAGGGAGGCAGAAGAGAAUUUUGAGAGCAACAAUUCCUUUUAGUAGAAAAAUUCUCGUUUCUUUCUUCUUUUGAGAGUUAGCUGAUUAAUUGGAGGGGUUUCUUUUGAGAGAGCUCCGGCGGUGGUCGACAUCCUGACAAUUAGCUCGUUGCCCCGUUUUGCUGCCCCGAAGGAGUUUUCUUAAGUCUUGGAAAACGUGACUUUGAGGUAAAGCGGAAGUACGAGUACAUGCACAAUCCAAAUGGUGAAACGGGAACAGUAGUCCAAAUACGACUGAUGGAAGAAGAUGAAGAUAAAGCUAAAAAGGCAUAUCAAACAAAAAUCGAAAGUAUUAUGAAGAUAGCUCAAAUCCAUAUUGUUGUGUCCACUUUGAUAAUGAUGGUCACUUUCGCUGCUGGCAUCACAUUGCCAGGAGGUUUCGAGAGCGACCCCGAUAGCCCUAAUCAAGGGAUGGCGAUUCUAACAAGGAAGACAACAUUUCGUGCAUUUGUUGUUUUCGAUGCCAUUGCCUUCACAUGCUCAGCUAUUCCCAUAUUCAUCUACUUCAUCAUGGCAAAUAUAAGUACACAACUUUAAAAAAAAAACGUAUACUGAAGCUUUGUAAUCGCGCAAUUAUUUUUAUGUGCUUGUCAAUGUUAGCGGUUGUAAUUGCAUUCACAACUGUUAUGUUUGCUACUUUAUCACAUUCACUUGGUCUUGCCGUUGCCGUUUGUUUCAUAGGUUGCCUCUCUAUUUUAUUAUACUUCUUGGUUCAUAUUUAUAGUUAAGAGAGACAUAAUGCCAGCUACUAGUACUUAUUGCUUGCAAAUAUAUAAUUCAACUACAUAUUUCAGUUUUUACCCAAUGCCUUGAAUUACAUAUGAAAGAUACGGUUUUUUUUAGUCCAUUACAUUAUAUUUUAUUUAUACAUCCUUUAUCACAUGAUAUAACAAUCUAUGUGGAUCAUUUUCUUCUAUUCUAAUUAUACGUGGUCACGAGAGAUCAUUUUUUCAUCACCGACAAUGCUAUAGAUCCAAGGCUUGAACCCAUGACCUUCUGGUCACAUGACAAUAACUUUACCAGUUACUCCAACUUUAUCAGCAACACACACAGAAGCUCACAAAUAUACACAUAUUCAUGUCGAGAAUAAUGUGUUCGCAAUUAACAUGCCUUUUAUCUAUUAAUGAUUAUAUAAUCUAUGCAUAACUGAUACAGUGUUUUGUUUUCAGUGCACUAAAGCUCCCCCUAUGCUCAGGUUCAGGGAAGGGUGUAUUGUAUGUAGCCUUACGUUGUAGUUUUGUCAGAGGCUGUUUCCAAGGCUUGAACCCGUGACCUCCUCGUCACAUGACAACAACUUUACCAGUUACUCCAAGGUCAUAGAAAGCAUGACAAAGCAAUCUUAAAAAAAAAAAAAAAGGAACAGUAAC